UACGGAGGAUGCGAGCGUUAUCCGGAUUUAUUGGGUUUAAAGGGUGCGCAGGCGGCACGGCAAGCCGGCGGUCAAAUCGCGGGGCUCAACCCCGCCCAGCCGUCGGAACUGCCGGGCUAGAGUGGGCGAGAAGUGCGCGGAAUGCGUGGUGUAGCGGUGAAAUGCAUAGAUAUCACGCAGAACUCCGAUUGCGAAGGCAGCGCACCGGCGCCCUACUGACGCUCGGGCACGAAAGCGUGGGUAUCGAACAGG
This 252-nucleotide ribosomal RNA is filed under the name uncultured bacterium. RNAcentral's name for it is "partial 16S ribosomal RNA". It matches the Rfam family "Bacterial small subunit ribosomal RNA", at positions 524 to 776 of the family's 1533-position model. The record is from RNAcentral.